This 1568-nucleotide long non-coding RNA is filed under the name Physcomitrium patens. RNAcentral describes it as "long non-coding RNA (PPAT_LNC010207)". Lineage: Eukaryota; Viridiplantae; Streptophyta; Bryopsida; Funariales; Funariaceae. The record is from RNAcentral.
GUCGGACACUACAGUAAAAAUGAACAAUAAUCAAGCGUUCAAGAGUUGGAAAUGCAAACUGUGCUCGACUCCUGCGAUUCGGAAGCGUGAUUGACAAGUUGUGUGUAAUGUGCUGCGGUCAUUCUCUGUCCAAUGAUUUUGCUGGUGAUACUUCGGAGUUUUUAAUUUAAUUUAAUUUAAUGUUUUAUCAUAUUCUUUUUAUUUACAAGUCACAAAGAAUGAGAAAACAGAUAACCGUAUCAAAAUUGUUCCAGAGCGCAUUGAAAGGCGUCUGAUACAGCAGUCUAACAAGCCGAAACUCAACAGUAGUCUUGAAAAAAAUGGUGGUAAUUUUCAGCACCAAGUUUCCAAGGCUGAACAUUAUGUAUAUAAACCUUGCGGACCCAUGCUCUAAACAACGCUACAACUCACCUUUUUCCUCUUCAACGCAAAACAAAGUUUCUGAAUAUAUUCUCAUUAUAUGUUUUUGGAAUGAGUAUGAGAACCUGGAGAUUAAUCAGGGGUAGGCAUCCAGAAAAAGAACUCCUUGCUCACAUGAAAACUCUCUGCAUGUGAAAGGUCUGCAUUCAAUGAAUGCUCAUUUUGUGCUUCUGUGGGAGCCACCGAAGGUCCUUGCAAAAAAGCAUAAGUUACUGGCCCAUAUUAUUUUCUAGUCCCAACACAAAUGGUACACUCGAGAGUAGAUACUGGACAUUUACACUGUACUGAGUGCCUAAAAUUGAUAUUUGUUUUCCGACUUUUGAAGCGUACAAAAUUAUGUGCUCGAAUUCCAGAUUGAACGGUUCAUUCUAGAAGAGCACGUGCAAUCGGUACUUGUUGCGGAGCAUACGCGGGAGCCUUGCUUUCAUCCUUUCAUGCUUUCGCAGACAAAUCCGGGGGUUUUGUUGCCUCGGCACCUGCAGAGCAAUAGCUGGAGGGGUCGCUUGGCUUGCGCUGCUGUGCGGCCUCCUUUUAGGAGGGAUCACAGCAGCAUGUGAUGGAUAAAAGGAAUUUGAGUAGUUAAGUUCGUCACGAGGUUUUGCCACCGCAGAGAGGAUUCAGGGAUGUGGGCGAACCAACCUCACGGCCACCCACAAAAUAGUACACGGGAUGAAAGGGGAUGAAGUCCCCAUCUACGUCGAGUUUUUAUCUCUCUCUUGCUGCUGCUACUUCUACUUCUCCUUCCUCCAAUUCUCACUUCUCUAUUUUCAGAAGAGAACAAGGAUACGAGUACAGCUCAGUGAGACUGCAAUGCCGGAGAAACAUAGUGUUGACAAAACGUACCUACCACAAGAGGAAUCGAUGGAGCGACAAACGCAAGUUUCAAGGAAGAGCGAUGUGAUUUGGGGUGCAAAAUACAGGAUGCGAAUAGAAUAAAAGGAUGGCAAGCAAAGGGGAUGAUUCCCCACCAGCUGUUUCUGUUCUCACGAGAGGAAGCACGCAGGGGAAUGGAAUGUAGGCUGGGGGGAUUGGAUUCGCACAGCCCUCCUCCAUCUUCUCCUCCUCCUCCUCGGUGCGAGCGCAGAAAUGUGAGUGAGAGAGAGAGAGACCCAGUGGAUGGGAAUGUGCAACCGCGGAGCUGGGCCCCC